RNAcentral lists this transfer RNA (73 nucleotides) under Felis catus (domestic cat). It matches the Rfam family "tRNA". Rfam says of the family: Transfer RNA (tRNA) molecules are approximately 80 nucleotides in length. Their secondary structure includes four short double-helical elements and three loops (D, anti-codon, and T loops). Lineage: Eukaryota; Metazoa; Chordata; Mammalia; Carnivora; Felidae. The record is from Rfam by way of RNAcentral.
GCCUGGAUGGCUUAUUUGGUAGAGAGUGCGACUCUUGAUCUCAGGAUUGUGGGUUCAAGCCCCAUGUCGGGUG